GCCUUCGUGGUAUAACGGUAGCACACUUGACGCGUAUUCCAGAGGUCCUGGGUUCGAGUCCCCGAGAGGGCA
Molecule: transfer RNA, 72 nt
Filed under: Stegodyphus mimosarum
Lineage: Eukaryota; Metazoa; Arthropoda; Arachnida; Araneae; Eresidae
Rfam family: tRNA
About the family: Transfer RNA (tRNA) molecules are approximately 80 nucleotides in length. Their secondary structure includes four short double-helical elements and three loops (D, anti-codon, and T loops).
Source: Rfam by way of RNAcentral